RNAcentral lists this transfer RNA (77 nucleotides) under Keratinibaculum paraultunense. RNAcentral describes it as "tRNA-Met". It matches the Rfam family "tRNA". Rfam says of the family: Transfer RNA (tRNA) molecules are approximately 80 nucleotides in length. Their secondary structure includes four short double-helical elements and three loops (D, anti-codon, and T loops). Lineage: Bacteria; Bacillati; Bacillota; Tissierellia; Tissierellales; Tepidimicrobiaceae. The record is from RNAcentral.
GGCGGCGUAGCUCAGAUGGCUAGAGCAUGCGGUUCAUACCCGCAGUGUCAACGGUUCAAGUCCGUUCGCCGCUACCA